CAUAAAUAUCAUAUUGAAUAAGGCAGAAUUUAAGAAUAAAGCAGAAUUAACGACUGCUUUAACUGCAAUCGGAAUUGUGGAAGGCAGGUGUUUUGAAAGGCCCCUGGACGAUACCAUCCAUCCACCCUUUCCUCUAGCAGAUGGCGCGCGGCUGUCUGUGUUGAGUGGUGAUAAAGCAAUCUUCAUUGGCUCUAUAACCAUGAUAGGAAACAAGAUGAAAUACACAGCCGUGUUGGACACGACAACAUGCACUCCCGUCUCGGCAGCGGUCAAUUCGAAAGAUCCUAACGACACUUCCACGAUGAGCAUAAGUUAUUCUAACUUCGGCCAAGUGGAUCCUGCCAGCUUCAAUGUACCGUCCAACUGCAACUACAGCAAGUAGAAGAGAGCCUCGCAAGGCAUUGAAUAUCUGAGCAGUAUAAGUAAUCUAAAUAAAAUGCCAUUCGUUGCAAAACGUUA
Nematostella vectensis (starlet sea anemone) is the source of this 459-nucleotide long non-coding RNA. RefSeq lists it as uncharacterized. The transcript has 3 exons. Lineage: Eukaryota; Metazoa; Cnidaria; Anthozoa; Actiniaria; Edwardsiidae. The record is from RefSeq and is a predicted model, not a curated record.